This is a long non-coding RNA of Bubalus bubalis (water buffalo), 555 nucleotides long. RefSeq lists it as uncharacterized. The transcript is spliced from 2 exons. The record is from RefSeq and is a predicted model, not a curated record. Lineage: Eukaryota; Metazoa; Chordata; Mammalia; Artiodactyla; Bovidae.
CUCCCACCCUCUCCUAAAAGGUCCCGCGGGAAGCUUCGCACCGCAACGCCCUUACCGGAAGUGACUGGGCAGACACUUUUCAUAGCGCCCAGAUCCCGAAGCCCCCAGUAACCUAGAUGCAAAUCCUGUUACCUUCCUGCCGGAAGCAUUCUCUAAGAUGGCUGGCUAGAGUUAAAAAGGGUGCAUUCUAAGGCCAAGAAACAGGAAGGUAACUAACACGUCCCUCUAGCACAAUUCCUAGGGCCAAUCCCAGCUCCAACUCCCAUCAGCCGUUAACCCGGUAAUUUACAGACUAAACAAAGCCACUUCUUUUUAUGAAAUCCUGGUUCAUGUUAUUUCUCCAGACAUUUUAAGAGAACAAUAUCGGUAAAAGUCAAUGUUUUCUACCAAUAUAGUACACAAACCCAAAUUUUAAAACAUUAAUCCUAAAAACAAACCUUUAAAUUUGGUUACAUUAACAACAAUAAGCCAUGUAAAUCCCCUGUUGGAAGUUUUUAUUUAACCCGAGAGUAUUGCGGAAGGGGAGGUAGGAGAACCUGGCAAACAAAACUAAAU